GCUCCCGGAGUCUCCGGUGGCGAGAGACGCCAGCCCUUCGAGCUGGAGGUCGGGGGUUCGAUUCCCCCCCGGGAGCA
This 77-nucleotide transfer RNA is filed under the name Haloterrigena alkaliphila. RNAcentral describes it as "Haloterrigena sp. KZCA68 tRNA-Glu". It matches the Rfam family "tRNA". From Rfam's summary of the family: Transfer RNA (tRNA) molecules are approximately 80 nucleotides in length. Their secondary structure includes four short double-helical elements and three loops (D, anti-codon, and T loops). Lineage: Archaea; Methanobacteriati; Methanobacteriota; Halobacteria; Halobacteriales; Natrialbaceae. The record is from RNAcentral.